This is a long non-coding RNA of Artibeus jamaicensis (Jamaican fruit-eating bat), 462 nucleotides long. RefSeq lists it as uncharacterized. The transcript is spliced from 3 exons. NCBI's taxonomy places the organism in Eukaryota, Metazoa, Chordata, Mammalia, Chiroptera, Phyllostomidae. The record is from RefSeq and is a predicted model, not a curated record.
UUCUGUGAUUCUGUUCCUGUUCUAGUUGUUUGCUUAGGUUGUUUUGGUUUUAGGUUCAGUUGUUGGUAGUUGUGAGUUUCCUGUCAUUUUACUGUGCAUAGUUUUGAUCUUCUUUUUCUUAGAUGGAAAAAUUAGCCCUUCUUCCUCCCAAGAGGUCAUAAGGAAUUGAAGACAGAUGUCUCUUUGAGGAAACCUAAAGGUCACCUGUGACCUGAGCAGGCUAUGUGACUUAUCAUCAUGAGGUCAACCCUGGGGCUAUCAAUUGCUGAAUGCCAGGGCAAGUGGUUCUUAGACAUUUUGGAUCAAGAAGAGGAAGGCAAGUACAGGGAAUGGUGGAGCAGGAAGAUGAAAAAAGUAUGGAUUCCUCAUGAAUUUGUGUAUUCUUCUACCAAUGGAACUGCCAAAUCUGGAUUUUUUAAAAACAUGAAGUAAACUUCUUUCAUCAUUGUGCUAUUCUUAUUU